GAUGAACGCUGGCGGCGUGCCUAAUACAUGCAAGUCGAGCGAACAGACGAGGAGCUUGCUCCUCUGACGUUAGCGGCGGACGGGUGAGUAACACGUGGAUAACCUACCUAUAAGACUGGGAUAACUUCGGGAAACCGGAGCUAAUUCCGGAUAAUAUAUUGAACCGCAUGGUUCAAUAGUGAAAGACGGUUUUGCUGUCACUUAUAGAUGGAUCCGCGCCGCAUUAGCUAGUUGGUAAGGUAACGGCUUACCAAGGCAACGAUGCGUAGCCGACCUGAGAGGGUGAUCGGCCACACUGGAACUGAGACACGGUCCAGACUCCUACGGGAGGCAGCAGUAGGGAAUCUUCCGCAAUGGGCGAAAGCUUGACGGAGCAACGCCGCGUGAGUGAUGAAGGUCUUCGGAUCGUAAAACUCUGUUAUUAGGGAAGAACAAAUGUGUAAGUAACUAUGCACGUCUUGACGGUACCUAAUCAGAAAGCCACGGCUAACUACGUG
Molecule: ribosomal RNA, 497 nt
Filed under: uncultured bacterium
Lineage: Bacteria
Description: partial 16S ribosomal RNA
Rfam family: Bacterial small subunit ribosomal RNA
Source: RNAcentral